RNA transcript from Gavialis gangeticus (Gharial), 1582 nucleotides. It is a transcript of the gene named fucosyltransferase 11, with no coding region annotated. Lineage: Eukaryota; Metazoa; Chordata; Crocodylia; Gavialidae. The transcript is spliced from 4 exons. The record is from RefSeq and is a predicted model, not a curated record.
GUGGCGCGCUAUCUUUCCGCUACCGCUCUCCGCGGGGCCGCUGGAGCUAUGGGUGGGGCCUGGCCACUCUGCCUCCUCGCGCUGGCGCUGGCUGCGGCGGAGGACUCGGAGUGGGCGGGGGCUGGGGACGAGGCCGAGGCGGUGUGGCCGGAGCCGUGGGCGGCGGGAGUGGGGGCGGCGCUGGGGGCGGUGGUGGCGCCCGCGUACCGGGGCCCGGGUAACAAUGACACACGCGCGAACCGGGCGCUUCCCAUCGUGCUGUGGUGGAGCGGCGGCCUCUUCCCGCACUUCCCCACCGACACGGCGCGCGUGGACUGCGCGCGCGGCUCGUGCCUGACCACGCGGCGGCGCCAGGUGUGGCGGCAGCGGCGCACGCGGGCGCUGCUCUUUUACGGCACCGACUUCCGCGCGUACGAGGCGCCGCUGCCGCGCCUGCCGCACCAGGCCUGGGCGCUGUUCCACGAGGAGUCGCCCAUGAACAACUACGUGCUGUCGCACGCGCCGGGCAUCCGCCUCUUCAACUACACAGCCACGUUCCGGCGCGAGUCGCAUUACCCGCUCACGCUGCAGUGGCUGCCGGGCCUGGCCUACCUGCGCCGCGAGCCGCUGCCUCUGUCCGACAAGGAGAGCUGGCGCCGGCGCGGCUAUGGGCCUGUGCUCUACCUGCAGUCCCACUGCGACGUGCCCGCCGAUCGCGACCGCUACGUGCGCCAGCUCAUGAACUACAUCCAGGUAGACUCCUACGGCAAAUGCCUGCAUAACCGAGAACUUCCCAGCGAGAGACUGACGGACACUUCUACAGCUACAACAGAGGAUUCUGAAUUCAUGACCUUUAUCUCCAGGUACAAGUUCCACCUGGCCAUGGAGAAUGCAAUAUGCAGUGACUACAUAACAGAAAAACUGUGGCGUCCACUGCAUGUGGGAGCCAUCCCUGUGUACCGAGGAUCCCCAUCUGUGCGGGACUGGAUGCCUGAUAACCUCUCCAUCAUCCUUGUGGAUGAUUUUGGAAGCCCCCAGGAGCUAGCAGAGUACCUUCACUUCUUGGACAGGAAUGGGGAGGAAUACUUGAAAUACCUAGAGUUUAAGAAGCCAGGAGGCAUUAAAAACCAGUUUCUGGUGCAGAGCCUGAAGUCACGAGAGUGGGGAGUGAAUGAUAUGACUCUGCCAAAUUACCUGAACGGCUUUGAGUGUUUUGUCUGUGACAAGGUCAAUGAACAAAUGAAAGCUGAGAGAGAGCACCGAAAAAAUCAUGGAAAAGUGAAAGCUCCUAAACCCCACAUAGCUCAUUUCACACACAUGGGGUGUCCUAUGCCAGCUCCUGGCUUUGGAAAUAUUGAGGACAUCCCUGAAGGAGACAGAUACAGAAAGUGCUGUACUCAUUUUUCUGGUUGGAAGAGAGGGGAAGCGCAGGAAUCUGGCACCAUGGAUAAGCAGUAAGUUGUAAGUAACUCACAGGCUUAGGUUUGGCAUAACCUCCCAUUUAUUCCUUCUGGCUGUUGGAAGGAGAUGUGGCUGCAGGAUUACUGGCAGAGCCUUGACCAAAGUGAAGCCCUCACUGCCAUGAUUCACCACAAUGAGUCGC